CGUAGGUGGCAAGCGUUGUCCGGAUUUAUUGGGUUUAAAGGGUGCGUAGGCGGUCCUAUAAGUCAGUGCUGAAAUAUCCCGGCUUAACCGGGAGGGUGGCAUUGAUACUGUAGGACUUGAGUAAAGUUGAGGUUGGCGGAAUUGACGGUGUAGCGGUGAAAUGCUUAGAUAUCGUCAAGAACACCUAUUGCGAAGGCAGCUAACUAAGCUUUAACUGACGCUGAGGCACGAAAGUGUGGGGAUCAAACAGGAUUAGAUACCCUGGUAGUCCACACUGUAAACGUUGAUUACUCGCUGUUGGCGAUACACAGCCAGCGGCUUAGCGCAAGCGAUAAGUAAUCCACCUGGGGAGUACGCCGGCAACGGUG
This 368-nucleotide ribosomal RNA is filed under the name uncultured organism. RNAcentral's name for it is "bacterial SSU rRNA". It matches the Rfam family "Bacterial small subunit ribosomal RNA", at positions 526 to 896 of the family's 1533-position model. The record is from RNAcentral.